This 254-nucleotide ribosomal RNA is filed under the name uncultured bacterium. Its description in RNAcentral is "partial 16S ribosomal RNA". It matches the Rfam family "Bacterial small subunit ribosomal RNA", at positions 524 to 776 of the family's 1533-position model. The record is from RNAcentral.
CACGUAGGGGGCAAGCGUUGUCCGGAUUUAUUGGGCGUAAAGAGCUCGUAGGCGGCUCAGUAAGUCAGGUGUGAAACCUCCAGGCUCAACCUGGAGACGCCACCUGAUACUGCUGUGGCUAGAGUCCGGUAGGGGAGCGUGGAAUUCCUGGUGUAGCGGUGAAAUGCGCAGAUAUCAGGAGGAACACCAGCGGCGAAGGCGGCGCUCUGGGCCGGAGCUGACGCUGAGGAGCGAAAGCGUGGGUAGCAAACAGG